This 466-nucleotide ribosomal RNA is filed under the name uncultured bacterium. Its description in RNAcentral is "partial 16S ribosomal RNA". It matches the Rfam family "Bacterial small subunit ribosomal RNA", at positions 29 to 507 of the family's 1533-position model. The record is from RNAcentral.
AUGAGCGCUGGCGGCGUGCUUAACACAUGCAAGUCGAACGGAAAGGCCCAAGCUUGCUUGGGUACUCGAGUGGCGAACGGGUGAGUAACACGUGGGUGAUCUGCCCUGCACUUCGGGAUAAGCCUGGGAAACUGGGUCUAAUACCGGAUAGGACCACUUCUUGGAUGUUGUGGUGGAAAGUUUUUUCGGUGUGGGAUGAGCUCGCGGCCUAUCAGCUUGUUGGUGGGGUAAUGGCCUACCAAGGCGUCGACGGGUAGCCGGCCUGAGAGGGUGUACGGCCACAUUGGGACUGAGAUACGGCCCAGACUCCUACGGGAGGCAGCAGUGGGGAAUAUUGCACAAUGGGCGCAAGCCUGAUGCAGCGACGCCGCGUGGGGGAUGACGGCCUUCGGGUUGUAAACUCCCUUCGCUAGGGACGAAGCGUUUUGUGACGGUACCUGGAGAAGAAGCACCGGCUAACUACGUG